This 234-nucleotide unclassified non-coding RNA is filed under the name plant metagenome. RNAcentral describes it as "partial contains small subunit ribosomal RNA, internal transcribed spacer 1, and 5.8S ribosomal RNA". The record is from RNAcentral.
UCUCCGUUGGUGAACCAGCGGAGGGAUCAUUACAGAGUUUACAACUCCCAAACCCACUGUGAACCUUACAGCGUCGUUGCCUCGGCGGACCGCCCCCGGCGCGUCCCCCCUCGGGGGCGCCCGGGACCACGGCGCCCGCCGGAGGACCCAAACUCUUGUAUUUGCAGGAUGCAUUGCUCUGAGUGAAAACAAGCAAAUGAAUCAAAACUUUCAACAACGGAUCUCUUGGUUCUG